GACGAACGCUGGCGGCGUGCGUAACACAUGCAAGUCGAACGCUGAAGCUUGGUGCUUGCACUGGGUGGAUGAGUGGCGAACGGGUGAGUAAUACGUGAGUAACCUGCCCUUGACUCUGGGAUAAGCCUGGGAAACUGGGUCUAAUACUGGAUACGACAUGUCACCGCAUGGUGGUGUGUGGAAAGGGUUUUACUGGUUUUGGAUGGGCUCACGGCCUAUCAGCUUGUUGGUGGGGUAAUGGCUCACCAAGGCGACGACGGGUAGCCGGCCUGAGAGGGUGACCGGCCACACUGGGACUGAGACACGGCCCAGACUCCUACGGGAGGCAGCAGUGGGGAAUAUUGCACAAUGGGCGGAAGCCUGAUGCAGCGACGCCGCGUGAGGGAUGACGGCCUUCGGGUUGUAAACCUCUUUCAGCACGGAAGAAGCGAAAGUGACGGUACGUGCAGAAGAAGCGCCGGCUAACUACGUG
RNAcentral lists this ribosomal RNA (472 nucleotides) under uncultured bacterium. RNAcentral describes it as "partial 16S ribosomal RNA". It matches the Rfam family "Bacterial small subunit ribosomal RNA", at positions 28 to 507 of the family's 1533-position model. The record is from RNAcentral.